UACGUAGGGUGCAAGCGUUGUCCGGAAUUAUUGGGCGUAAAGAGCUCGUAGGCGGUUUGUCGCGUCUGCUGUGAAAAUCCGAGGCUCAACCUCGGACUUGCAGUGGGUACGGGCAGACUAGAGUGUGGUAGGGGAGACUGGAAUUCCUGGUGUAGCGGUGGAAUGCGCAGAUAUCAGGAGGAACACCGAUGGCGAAGGCAGGUCUCUGGGCCAUUACUGACACUGAGAAGCGAAAAGCAUGGGGAGCGGACAGG
RNAcentral lists this ribosomal RNA (254 nucleotides) under uncultured bacterium. RNAcentral describes it as "partial 16S ribosomal RNA". It matches the Rfam family "Bacterial small subunit ribosomal RNA", at positions 524 to 776 of the family's 1533-position model. The record is from RNAcentral.